RNAcentral lists this ribosomal RNA (492 nucleotides) under uncultured bacterium. RNAcentral describes it as "partial 16S ribosomal RNA". It matches the Rfam family "Bacterial small subunit ribosomal RNA", at positions 29 to 507 of the family's 1533-position model. The record is from RNAcentral.
AGUGAACGCUGGCGGUAGGCCUAACACACGCAAGUCGAACGGCAGCACAGUAAGAGCUUGCUCUUACGGGUGGCGAGUGGCGGACGGGUGAGGAAUACAUCGGAAUCUACUUUUUCGUGGGGGAUAACGUAGGGAAACUUACGCUAAUACCGCAUACGACCUACGGGUGAAAGCAGGGGAUCUUCGGACCUUGCGCGAUUGAAUGAGCCGAUGUCGGAUUAGCUAGUUGGCGGGGUAAAGGCCCACCAAGGCGACGAUCCGUAGCUGGUCUGAGAGGAUGAUCAGCCACACUGGAACUGAGACACGGUCCGGACUCCUACGGGAGGCAGCAGUGGGGAAUAUUGGACAAUGGGCGCAAGCCUGAUCCAGCCAUACCGCGUGGGUGAAGAAGGCCUUCGGGUUGUAAAGCCCUUUUGUUGGGAAAGAAAAGCAGCAGGUUAAUACCCCGCUGUUCUGACGGUACCCAAAGAAUAAGCACCGGCUAACUUCGUG